CUCCGUAGGUGAACCUGCGGAGGGAUCAUUACUGAGUGAGGGCCUUCGGGUCCGACCUCCAACCCCAUGUUGUCCGACUCUGUUGCCUCGGGGGCGACCCGGCCGUACGGCCGCGGGCCCCCGGUGGACUACUCAACUCUGCAUCUUAGCGUCUGAGUUUAAUUAUAAAUCAAUUAAAACUUUCAACAACGGAUCUCUUGGUUCUGGCAUCGAUGAAGAACGCAGCGAAAUGCGAUAAGUAAUGUGAAUUGCAGAAUUCAGUGAAUCAUCGAAUCUUUGAACGCACAUUGCGCCCCUUGGUAUUCCGAGGGGCAUGCCUGUUCGAGCGUCAUUACACCAAUCAAGCCUGGCUUGGUAUUGGGCGCCGUGGUUCUUCGGAGCCGCGCGCCCUAAUGUCCUCGGCUGGGCCGUCCGCCUCGAAGCGUUGUGAUAAUACAGAUCGCUUGUGGGUGUGGACGGUCGCGCGCCGUAAAACCUUUUUUCAAGGUUGACCUCGGAUCAGGUAGGGAUACCCGCUGAAC
RNAcentral lists this ribosomal RNA (521 nucleotides) under Pseudocercospora tereticornis. Its description in RNAcentral is "eukaryotic LSU rRNA". The stretch from base 178 to 331 matches the Rfam family "5.8S ribosomal RNA". The record is from RNAcentral. Lineage: Eukaryota; Fungi; Ascomycota; Dothideomycetes; Mycosphaerellales; Mycosphaerellaceae.